GCUCAGGGUGUCGAGGUUGUCGUGCUGCGUUGCCGAGUUCAUCCGGUGGCGUGUUAACGCCCGCUGCUGGUGCAAUCUCGGUCGUAGUUGGACCGUCAGUCGGGAAGAGUCUGUGGCCUGUUGAUCGGUGAUGGGGAGGUAGGCCUCGUGGUUGUCUUCGGGCUCCCGGGGUCACGUAUAGCCCUUUGCCGUGGUCUCAGUCGUCUUUCAGGUGUGUUGGAUGGCCGUUCGUCCAUGAUUGGUAGGUGCAGUCUCUCCUUGUGGGAGGUCGGGCCUUCGCUGAGGUUGCUCGGCGUCUUGGAGUUGUGUUCCGUUCUCUCGCCGUAGACUUGUUCUGCGGUGCAGGGUGCGGCACUGCCCUUGGCGUUGUGUCCCGAGGUGUUGAGUCCAAGUUCUGUGCCAAGGUGACUGGCGAAGAGUCGUUACUCUGUGC
This 433-nucleotide ribosomal RNA is filed under the name Demospongiae sp. GW3262. RNAcentral describes it as "partial 28S large subunit ribosomal RNA". Lineage: Eukaryota; Metazoa; Porifera; Demospongiae. The record is from RNAcentral.